Molecule: transfer RNA, 92 nt
Filed under: Pseudonocardia hydrocarbonoxydans
Lineage: Bacteria; Bacillati; Actinomycetota; Actinomycetes; Pseudonocardiales; Pseudonocardiaceae
Description: tRNA-Gln
Source: RNAcentral
ACGAGCGGGCGGCCCGGCACCGCGCCGCCGUACUGGCCGCCGCGGCCGUCGACCCGGCGGCCCGGGCCCGGGUCGACUCCGGGCGCCUGGCC